Molecule: ribosomal RNA, 492 nt
Filed under: uncultured bacterium
Lineage: Bacteria
Description: partial 16S ribosomal RNA
Rfam family: Bacterial small subunit ribosomal RNA
Source: RNAcentral
AGUGAACGCUGGCGGUAGGCCUAACACAUGCAAGUCGAACGGCAGCACAGUAAGAGCUUGCUCUUACGGGUGGCGAGUGGCGGACGGGCGAGGAAUACAUCGGAAUCUACUUUUUCGUGGGGGAUAACGUAGGGAAACUUACGCUAAUACCGCAUACGACCUACGGGUGAAAGCAUGGGAUCUUCGGACCUUGCGCGAUUGAAUGAGCCGAUGUCGGAUUAGCUAGUUGGCGGGGUAAAGGCCCACCAAGGCGACGAUCCGUAGCUGGUCUGAGAGGAUGAUCAGCCACACUGGAACUGAGACACGGUCCAGACUCCUACGGGAGGCAGCAGUGGGGAAUAUUGGACAAUGGGCGCAAGCCUGAUCCAGCCAUACCGCGUGGGUGAAGAAGGCCUUCGGGUUGUAAAGCCCUUUUGUUGGGAAAGAAAAGCAGCAGGUUAAUACCCCGCUGUUCUGACGGUACCCAAAGAAUAAGCACCGGCUAACUUCGUG